UUUUAUCUUUCAUAAUUAAAAUAUUUUUUUUAUUGUUUAAAUUUUUGGUUCGUCCUAAGGUUGUUUUUAUAGCAAAAAACUCGCUUUUAACGAACAUGACAUAAAAAAAUUAAUUCAUCAUCACUUCAACCUAUCGCAGUCCACUGCUGGACAUAGGCCUCCACAACUUCGCACCAAAAAUAGCGUGUAAUCAUGUGGUUUGCCCAUAUUCACGUUAUUUUUGGCGUAAACUUGUGGAGGCCUAUGUCCAGCAGUGGACUGUAUAGGCUAAUGAUGAUACAUUAAUCAGUCAAAUA
Molecule: unclassified non-coding RNA, 296 nt
Filed under: Melitaea cinxia (Glanville fritillary)
Lineage: Eukaryota; Metazoa; Arthropoda; Insecta; Lepidoptera; Nymphalidae
Description: misc RNA ENSMCXG00005011690.1
Source: RNAcentral